Nerophis ophidion (straightnose pipefish) is the source of this 1025-nucleotide long non-coding RNA. RefSeq lists it as uncharacterized. NCBI's taxonomy places the organism in Eukaryota, Metazoa, Chordata, Actinopteri, Syngnathiformes, Syngnathidae. The record is from RefSeq and is a predicted model, not a curated record. The transcript has 3 exons.
GGCGGCGGCGGCGGGAUUGCGUCUCACCGUCUUGGCCUGGCGGACGCGCAUGGCGGUGUCCAGGUGCUCGGCGAGCAGGCGGUCGUCGGAAAAAUCAAGCUUCAUUAUUCAUCAGGAUGUUGGAGGUGUGUUGCUACUGUGAGAAGCCAACGUAUGUCUGGGACCAUCAGAAUAAACUGCUACUACAAUCAAAAUCGACGUCUGAGAUCCAUUAAACGGUUUGAGACUCUGCUGAAGGACAAUGCAACGAAGACAAGACCCUUCUUGUCUCUCAUGGACACACACCUGUUGUUGUUGACUUUGGACUUAUCGGCUGCAUGACAUCAAGGCCGCGGAACAGAGACACGCGGCAGGCUUACACACACACGCAUCCACAAAAAUAUACGCCACACAUACACAGCCCAGCCCCUAAAUCCAACCCCUUCGAUGCAAAUUCCAUAGGGGUGAUGGAAGGAUGGUCAGCGCCUAAUAGCUGCGGCCUGCCACCAUGACCACUCACUCCCUCCCCUCUGUUGCUAGAUAUCUCGAGAUGUAUGUUGUAAUAUGUACAGUAUAUGCUAUAUAAAAAAACAUUGAUUGAUUGAUUGAUAGAUAUGUGCUUUGCUAUGGAGUUUUUUUUCCCAUUACAGACUAGGCCCCCUUAGGAGCCCAGUCAAGAUUUUAUUGUUUUACUCAUCCUUCCCCAGCAUUUAACUUUGUCCCCAUCUUUUACGGGACGCCUUGUUGUGACCCAUCAGCGUUCCUGUUCUGUAACCCUGUACACCAGGCCUGGGCAAUUAUUUUCACUCGGGGGCCAAAUUUAGAGAAAAAAAUGUGUCUGGGGGCCGGUAUAUCUAUUUUUGGGAAAACUAAUAUAAAACCUCACAAUAAAGUCUGAUUGAAUGCUCCUUAAAAACGGAAUGGAAUUUAGAAUGUUUCUAUGAACGAUAAAAUCCUGAAUAUUGCCAACAUAUGAACGUCACACCCCUCUCAAUCGACAUAUUUUACAAUCAAGCCAAAUGCAACAGACAGCGAAAUAUGAACGC